Homo sapiens (human) is the source of this 7336-nucleotide long non-coding RNA. RefSeq lists it as uncharacterized. The transcript is spliced from 2 exons. Lineage: Eukaryota; Metazoa; Chordata; Mammalia; Primates; Hominidae. The record is from RefSeq and is a predicted model, not a curated record.
UAAAGGGCAUUUUAUGAUUCUCUAUUUCUUAUUUUGUUACUCAGCUUCAUAAACUAAAUAUUUUAUUAUCAAAGAACCACAAGUCUUUGGUGAGGAAAGAGGUAAACUUACCUGUAUGUAUUUUCGUAUGUAUUUCUGACACAUUUGUACUGAUCUUCGUUGUUCUUAUUGAAUAGGUAGAGAGAUUGGCCAACAAUGUAUUAGCUAGAGUUUUGCCAGGACAGCUUAAAAGCUCCAGAUAAGCCAGGCUUGGAGAGACUGGUAAGGCUUUUUGGGUUUUGUUAUCAUUUGUUUGUUUUCCCUUCCAUUUGUUGAGGUACAAAAAUCAGAACCAGAAGAUCAAGGAAGGGUUGAGCUUUCUGCUUGAGAGCUGUGAUGUUGAUGAACGACAAGCAGAAAGUGGACCCCAUCAUCUCUCACUUUGGUUCUUGGUCUCCUCGAGGGGAGCACUCUCCAGACAUAGGCCAGAAGAAGCAAAAGCCCCAAAUGGUGAAGGCUUUGUAAGGAAAGACUUAUUUAAUCUAAGCACGUUCAAGCCUCUGUUCUAGGACAAAUUAGAUCCCUGGGUACCAAAAGAACUUGAUAAUUAUAUCACCAUAUUGAGCAUAUCAGUCCAAGCAACUGUGGGAAAGUGGGCUGAUGCCAGAAGCUGAAAACGCACUUGUGCUUUUUAAAGAAGGUGGAUUUCACGCAUUACUCAGAGUGAGGUUAAUCCUAGGCAGAGUUCUAGAGACAAUUUUUAAACCGCUGGUCAGGAAAAGUGAAUGAACAAGUUAUAAUGUGUUAACUUUAUUUUGUUCUCUACUAGGUUUCUGGCUUGAGGAAGGACAUGUGGUGGAAUUAGUGGGCAGGCAUUUGACCAGGCCUUUCAACAUUUAAUUUGUAGACAAGAAAGGAAAGUAUGGGCUAUCUCUUAGUUACUAGAAUUAGACUGUUGAAUGGCUAUAAUAAAAGAAUCAACCAAGGGUGCUAGCACGAGACCAAAACUCUCCUCAUCCUCCCACACUGAUCUCCAGGUAGAAGAUGUCAGGAGGCAAGCUUCUGAUAGUAAGACAGUCCUCAUACCCCACAGGUCAGUAAGGAAGUCACGUCCAGUCUGGAGCCACAGUUAGAUCAGACGUGCUGACUGACAAAGGUAGUGGUGGAUGAUGCUGGACCAGUCAUCUCAGGUGGACCUGAGGUCCUGCAGAACAGAGAUGAUGCUGGACCAGUCAUCUCAGGCGGACCUGAGGUCCUGCAGAACAGAGAUGAUGCUGGACCAGUCAUCUCAGGCGGACCUGAGGUCCUGCAGAACAGAGAUGAUGCUGGACCAGUCAUCUCAGGCGGACCUGAGGUCCUGCAGAACAGAGAUGAUGCUGGACCAGUCAUCUCAGGCGGACCUGAGGUCCUGCAGAACAGAGAUGAUGCUGGACCAGUCAUCUCAGGCGGACCUGAGGUCCUGCAGAACAGACUAGUUUAAUCCCUGGUGUCACCGCCUGUAGGGGAGAAGAGUGCAGUCUUGCCUUUUAACUGACUCCACGUAACCUAUUCAGGACUUUUAUGUCUGUAUGUGACAUCUGGAGAGACUGCUCAUCCCAAUUCAGGCAUCCGGAAAACUACUUUGCUGUGUUAAGCGCUAUUUUUCUUAAAAAUGGGCAAAUUUCCAGCGUAUAGCAAGGACAGGCUUAGUGCCACAGCCGAAAUAAUUGUUGCUGCAUUAAAAGCUUUGCAAGUGAGACUGUCAGUGCAGAGGUUGGUGAGUGGAUGACGUCAGCAGUGCUGGAGGGAGUUUCUAGCGUCAUGUUGCAGGUGUCUGUUCUCAUGCAGAAAGCCUGUGAGUGGUUGAAUUGGUUUGGAAGGUGUGUGUAUCAAAUCUAGACAAGGGCCUGUCAGAUACGUCAGGUGCUAGAAUUCAGAUCCCAACAGAUCUCAGCACCAAAUCAACCACAGAAAGUUUCAUUAAUCAGUUUUAAUAUAUGAGUGUUUUGAAUCAGUACAGAGUAAGAAUCACAUAGGUGGCAACAGCAUGUGUUUAAUGAAGAAAUGAGCUUACAUGUGUUAUUUGGUUGAGUCCACAAUGCUGUCAUGCCCCCAAAUAACUCCUUCCACUGUGGUGACCAAGGGAGGCCGUCGUCUUGCUUUCUGGCUGCUGUUUGGAUCACGUGGGUAUUGUGUACAGUUGUCCAGUCCCUAUGUCGUUUUGUUUUGCUUAAUGAAUAUCACAUCAAUUUAAUGUGUCCACACUGGGCAAAACUGACUUGAGGAGUGUGAGAGUAAUAAAAACAGGAUAUAUUCCAGAAUGAUCAUCUGGUAAGAACAUGCCCUGGAAGCUAUAGUUAUAAUAUCCUCGAACAGAUUACACUGGUUAUUUAUACACUCUUUAGACUUCUUAGUGCUCAACAAUUGAUGAAAUACCAUUUCUGGGGAGUCAUGCUUAUGUUUAAUUUUCAGUAAGGACUGGCCACAGUUCUAUUUAUUUCUACUAAAAACAUCUCCUUGGCAAGGAAAAUGCCCUUUCCAUUUUCCUGCUUGUGUGUGCGUGUGUCUGUAUGUACGUGCACAUGCACGUGAGGAUGUGUUUUUCCUGCUUGUAUAUGUGUGUGCACACACAUCAGCAUGUUUUUCCUGCGUGUAUAUGCAUGUGCAUGCACAUCAGCAUGUGUGCUUUUCCUGCAUGUGUGUACACAAACAUGCAUGUGAACCUGUUUUUCCUGUGUGUAUAUGUGUGUGUACGCACAUGAGCAUGUUUUUCCUGCAUGUUUAUGUGUGUGUACGCACAUGAGCAUGUGUUUUUCCUCUGUGUGUGUACGCACAUGAGCAUGUGUGUUUUUCCUGCAUGUUUGUGUGUGUACGCACGUGAGCAUGUGUUUUUCCUGCGUGUUUAUGUGUGUGUACGCACGUGAGCAUGUUUUUCCUGUAUAUGUGUAUGCACAUGAGCAUGUGUUUUUCCUGCAUGUUUGUGUGUGUACGCACGUGAGCAUGUGUUUUUCCUGUAUGUGUGUACACACGUGAGCAUGUGUGUUUUUCCUGUGUGUAUAUGUGUGCGCACGCACAUGAGCAUGUUUUUCUUGUGUGUUUAUUUAUGUGUACGCACGUGAGCAUGUGUUUUUCCUGCAUGUUUGUGUGUAUGCACAUGAGCAUGUGUGUUUUUCCUGUGUGUAUAUGUGUGUGCAUGCACAUGAGCAUGUUUUUCCUGCGUGUUUGUGGGUGUGUAUGCACGUGAGCAUGUGUGUUUUUCCUGUGUGUAUAUGUGUGCACACACAUGAUCAUGUGUGUUUUUCCUGUGUGUUUGUGUGUGCACACACGUGAGCAUGUGUUUUUCCUGUGUGUAUGUGUGUACGCACGUGAGCAUGUGUUUUUCCUGUGUGUAUAUGUGUGUGCACGCACAUGAGCAUGUGUUUUUCCUGCAUAUGUGUGCACACAUGUGAGCAUGUGUGUGUUUUACCCUAUUAUUCCAUAUCUCUUUCCUUGCUCUUUUUUUUAAGUGUUAAAGACUUUUACUUUCAGACUAUUUUAGAGGAGUCAUUUCAUUAAACCUUUUGGAAUCCCACUGAAGCCGCAGGGCCCAAGGUUAAGCUGUGCUCUUCCCUUAGGAAUUGACAGUCGUGGCGACUGCUGUCUUUAGUACAUUACCAGGAAGUUUCCAAGUGGCAGUUCUACAAGAUGAGCCCUUGAAGAAGCCAAUCCUGUUUUCUAUCUUUUGCUUUCAACAUACGAGGUGAACUUUUACCUUUCUCCAUUUAAUAUAAACCAAAAUCCGUCUUUUAAAAAAAUGUUUAUUUUUAACUUUUAUUUUAGAUUCAGGGGUACAUGUGCAGGCUUGUUAUAUAGAUAAACUCAUGUCACAGGGGGUUGGUGUACAGAUUAUUUCUUCACCAAGGUACUAAGCAUAGUACCCAAUAGGUAUUUUUUCUGAUCCUUUUCCUCCUCCCAGCCUCCACCUUCAAGUAGGUCCUAGUGUCUGUUGUUCCUCUCUUUGUGUCCAUGUAUUCUUACUGUUUAGCUCCCACUUGUAAGUGAGAACAUGGGUAGUUGGUUUUCUGUUCAUGCAUUAGUUUGCUAAGGAUAACGGCCUCCAGCUCUGUCUAUGUUGUUGCAAAGGACACGAUCUUUCUUUUUUAUGACUGCAUAGUAUACUCUGAAAGGGGAGAGUGUUGGGAGGAGAGUGAGCUUGUGUCAAAGGAGCUCCAGGUCAUGCUCUGCCCGCAGAGUUCAAGAAAUAAAAUGUCACCCUAAGGAAAGGCAGGCAGGCUGUGAGAACAUGGGCACGAUCUGCAGGUAUUUGAAGACUUGCCACGGCAAAGAGGAAUUACACUUUGGCCAACCGCAGUGAGAGACUGUGGCUGCUCUCCAAAUGACCUGAGGGUGGGGGAGCAGCAUUUCCCAAACUUGACACCCCUGGGUAACAACUUUUGUUGAAGAGAGUGUCUUACCUUGCGGGGAUGUUGGGCAAUGGAAAGAAAAUAAAAAAAACCCCAAAGUCAAAUUCUUCUUUUAGACUUGAUACUGUUUGGUUAGUUUAAGUCCAUGGUGUUCCGUCUGUGAGCUUUGGCCCCAGGUUAGUCACGUCCAUCUUCUGUCCUACUUGGGUGUCAUCGCCACAUCCCCUGUGCCUUAUCUGUACUCAGUCUCGCACCUCUGCAGGGCAUCUACCCUCUGGUGCUGGAGUGUCCACGCACUGUCCCAUCUUAACGUGCAUAGCUGCCCUGAAUAUGCCCCUGUGUUUCUUCUGCUUUUUCCUCCUUUCUUACAUGUAAUACAUUUGCAUGGAUAAUUACUUCAUGAUGCUAACUUUGGUUUGCCCUCUGUUCCUCCCCACCUCCACCCCAUACAUCCUUCAUAAAUUUUCUUUGAUCAUAUUAAGGCGGCGGUCCCCAGGGACCGGUUUUGUGGAAGACGAUUUUUCCACAGACCAGCGGUGUUGGUGGGGGCAGGGAUGGUUUUAGGGUGAAACUGAUCUGCCUCAGAUUAUCAGGCGUUAGUUAGAUUCUCAUCCCGUAAGGAGUGCACAACCUGGAUUCCUCGCAUGCACAAUUCACAGUAGGGUUCACAGUCCUGUGAGAAUCUAAUGCCGCUGCUGAUCUGACAGGAGGCUGAACUCAGGUGUUAAUGACCACUUGCCUGCUGCUCACCUCCCACUGUGCAGCCCAGCUCCUAACAAGCCACAGAUCAGUACUGGUCCGCAGCCCACACAUUGGUGACCCCUGUAUUAAGGGAUCUUUUACUCCACCUACCCAAGAAUGAAAAGGUGCUUCCCGGACUCUACUCUUUCUUAUCAGGGCAGCAGGCAUGUGGACCCACAGUACAGUUCGUCAUUUCAGACAGAGGAACAUGCUGCACGUGGAUGAGGCAGUUCUGUUUUUAUCCCUGGUUUUUAUACCUGAAACUGUGUCACAUUUUAUGUGCAUAGUGGUUGUCCUCUGAGAUUCCACCUGCAAGUUGCCAUUGAAACUCCUACUUCUGCUUCUGACUUGCAGCAGCUCUGGGAAGCUGUGGCUUUCAUACUUCCCCUGCUGGCCCUAUGGCUCGCCCAUUCCCACAAGUACCCAGAUGAUUGUCUUUGUCAAAAACAAGAGUAGGGAAACAGAUACCAAUGGCAACAGCUUCUGUUCACCAAGUGCUUAUAGAAGUUGAAUACUUCACACGUGGAUUCUCACUCCGGCUUCCCAGUUAGAGAAGAUGCAUGUAGUAAAAUGCUUUCAUUACAUACAGGAGAAAACUGAAGAUAGAGUGCUCCAAGAAUUUCCCAAGGCCACACAUAGGAUAAGGACCCCAGGAGAUGUGUUGGGCCCCUCCUUCCAUACCCCACCUCCAGACGGACACCGAUUUUAGCCUGGGUUCAAACUGCAUCAGCUUGUACCCCACUGGGGAGCACAGAGAGGUUGCAGCUGGAACAAUUCCCAGCUUAGGGCCCUGAUCCUACUUUCGACUUAACUGGAGGCUUGGUCCUUUCCGAGGGUCCACCACCCCAGCCAGGUCCUCUAGGCAUCCUCUGUGGCGGGGUCUCCCUUUCCAGGUAGUGAGGAGGGGCCUUUUCAUCUCAAAAGCUAGCUUUUCAAGGGGAUUUCUUCCAGCAGAGCUGUGGGGCCCAUAGAGGCUUGUGGGAGGCUUCCCACAUCUUAAUCACUCGGGUUUUCACCACAGAACUCCAUGUCCCUUCCUAGUCAUCCUUCUGUGUGGAUCCUGGUCCAUGAGCCGGGCCCUGUACACACCUGCAGCCCACUUGUGGGCUGAGUUCAGGUCCUCUUCCACCCAGCCCUCUGGCCUGCAGAUCCCCUGGGCACCUCUCAGCACUAGAGAUGGCCAGCAAUAGCUCUGAUGGCCUCCAGGGGGCAGCCUUGCCUAACCCUGUGGCUGCCAGACCUGCUUCUGUUUCUCAGUAGAAUCCAGACUGCUGUGAACUUCCAUAGGACACAACUCUCUUGCUGCUGGGCAAAGAUUUAUCUUUUUAUUAUAAAUUUGCAGCAUGCCCAGAAGUACAAUUUUUCCUCUUAGGAGUUUAUGGUAAGAAUUUUAUAGGCAUCCUAGAGGUUUUUUCUCGUUGCUUUAUUCAGGGAUAUUUUAGGCAUCAUGUACACCAUUUUAAAAACUUAAAAACAGACUUUCCUUGAGUGAUGUUUCAUUAUGAUGUGUGCCCAUUCAUCCCCAGUUGAUAUUAGAAGUGACCUUUAUCUAAGACUUUUUUCUCCAAAUUGAAUGAGAAUAUUUCCUGUAGGACCAGACAGAAAAAUUCCGAAGGGGCAAAUAUUUUAAAUGGUUAAAAUGUAGCCUUGCUCCUUCUGCCUCAUUUAGUUUGGUCCUUUUUUAAUGUCAUGAUCCCAGGAUCAGUUCCUUCACGGUCUCCUCAGUACCCGCGCUGGUUUCACCAGCCAGCGGGAGGAUGAGCACAUCCAGUGUGCGGUAAAAUAUCCAGGAUGUUGCGGGGAAUACGCUAGUUUUUGGGUUUUUUUUUUUUUAACUACCAGGUGGAAGGGAAAACGUUUGACCCCUAAAGAUUCAUGGCGCUUCCCCUAGAAUUGAGAGGAAGUGAUUUCUAUAGACUCUAACAGACUAAUUCUAGCACGUUUUCCUCAUACUGUACUAUUUUUAGGAGUAAAAAGAUUUAAAUGUGGGAUGAUGUUAAGUUUACUAGACCAAGUGACAUAUUUUGAACAAUUGGUAGGAACCCGAAUGUGUUUUGAAAAAUAUCUAGAGAAGGAAGAUUUUAAAACUGUGAUCUUUCUUAUUAUUAGAAGAGUUUUUCUUAGAACAAAAACAGUAACAGUGGCUAGCAUUUACUUAUUUCUUCACUCUGCAUUGUCUUCUCAUUGAAACUUCUAAGCAACUUUUUUUUUUUUUUUUUUUUUGAGACUGAGUC